Molecule: unclassified non-coding RNA, 377 nt
Filed under: uncultured Chlamydiales bacterium
Lineage: Bacteria; Pseudomonadati; Chlamydiota; Chlamydiia; Chlamydiales
Description: contains 16S-23S intergenic spacer region
Source: RNAcentral
UCCUAGUUAACCUAGGCAGUCUCACUAGAGUACCCACCUUUCGUGUUGGCAACUAAUGAUAAGGGUUGCGCUCGUUGCGGGACUUAACCCAACACCUCACGGCACGAGCUGACGACAGCCAUGCAGCACCUAUACAGCAGUCCUUACGGAAAAUGACGUUUCUGCCAUUGUCUCCUGCAUUUCGAGCCCAGGUAAGGUUCUUCGCGUUGCAUCGAAUUAAACCACAUGCUCCACUGCUUGUGCGGGCCCCCGUCAAUUCUUUUGAGUUUCACCCUUGCGAGCGUACUCCCCAGGCGGUGUACUUAACGCGUUAGCUCCGAAACAGCCAGGGUUGAGCCUAGCUCCUUCAAGUACACAUAGUUUACGGCAAGGACUAC